Long non-coding RNA from Mercenaria mercenaria, 641 nucleotides. RefSeq lists it as uncharacterized. The record is from RefSeq and is a predicted model, not a curated record. Lineage: Eukaryota; Metazoa; Mollusca; Bivalvia; Venerida; Veneridae. The transcript has 5 exons.
AAUAACAGUAAAGCAGAAUGGCUACAGACAAUUAAUUCAAAAUUGAAGAGAUGCAGGUUUUUGUUCAAUAUGGUGUAUGAGGGAACCAUGGUGGAAAUUUGGAUUUCAUGGCAGUCAUAGAAAUAUCUAAUCAGUCUGUUCUACAGUGAUGUGUGUACCAGUCUGUCAGACUAUUGCGUGUCUGUCCAGUUGACAAAUUCGCAAUAGAUUCGUAGAUUCUGAAAUAAUUUGGCAGGGUUUUCACAGUUACAAAGACAGAUUGCAGAAGAUUUGAGUACCCAAAACCCUGAAAUGAGAGCACUUGCACAAUGUGAAGUUUGUCGCAUUGAAGGGGAUUCACCGUCUUUGUGUAUAUAAGUCUACAACUUCUCAGAUUUGACUGAAGACAAUUGUUUGGUGUUGUGAAUAGAGAAAUAUAUGAGGUAGGGCUCUGCAGUUUUCCAUAAACACAACAAGAAGUUUACAUUUGUUGCACAGAGUUGUGUCUCACAUGUAUGGAGUUGAAGGAAUAGUUACAGGAAAAGGGUACAGAAUAUGUAAGAAUAUGACAGCCAAACAUCUUCCCCAGGAUUCGAUGCAGCAACCUUCUGAUAGAAGGAUGUACCUGUUGUGCAAAGGGUCUAAGCUGGCUUGGUGACAGG